RNAcentral lists this long non-coding RNA (387 nucleotides) under Salvia miltiorrhiza (redroot sage). RNAcentral's name for it is "long non-coding RNA (SMIL_LNC008559)". The record is from RNAcentral. Lineage: Eukaryota; Viridiplantae; Streptophyta; Magnoliopsida; Lamiales; Lamiaceae.
UUGUCAACUGGACAUCUUCCAAUAAUUGUGGAUCUGUUAUGAAUUUGAAGCACAAUUUGGGAUUCGAUGACAUCUUCAGCUGCAUAAACUGCAUCAGCAAUGCGACGCUCCAAUAGUUCCGCCUCAUGGUCAUCCACAACUGGGGAAAUAUAAGCAUCAAGAAAUUCCUGCAAGAAGGUAACAUUUUCAGUGAGAGAUUCAACUUGCUGUUUGUCGAUAGAAAUUGGAGAGGAAGGAUGAUUUUCAAGCUGAUCUAUGAUAUUCAUAAGAGAAACCAGAGCUCCAUAAGCUGCCAUGAUUAACUCUUUAAUUAAUGUAUAUAUUUAUGGGAAAUGUGAAUGAAAAGAAGGCAAGCAAUCUGGUAUAUAUUAUGACUCCACAAUUGAG